Molecule: ribosomal RNA, 412 nt
Filed under: uncultured bacterium
Lineage: Bacteria
Description: bacterial SSU rRNA
Rfam family: Bacterial small subunit ribosomal RNA
Source: RNAcentral
UUUUCGUCAAUGGGCGCAAGCCUGAACGAGCGAUGCCGCGUGAGUGAAGAAGGCCUUCGGGUCGUAAACCUCUUUUGCCGGGGAGCAGGGCGGCGGACGUGUCCGCCGUUUGAGAGUACCCGGAGAAAAAGCAUCGGCUAACUCCGUGCCAGCAGCCGCGGUAAUACGGAGGAUGCGAGCGUUAUCCGGAUUUAUUGGGUUUAAAGGGUGCGUAGGCGGGCUUUUAAGUCAGCGGUAAAAAUUCGGGGCUCAACCCCGUCCGGCCGUUGAAACUGGGGGCCUUGAGUGGGCGAGAAGAAGGCGGAAUGCGUGGUGUAGCGGUGAAAUGCAUAGAUAUCACGCAGAACCCCGAUUGCGAAGGCAGCCUUCCGGCGCCCUACUGACGCUGAGGCACGAAAGUGCGGGGAUCGAA